Molecule: small RNA, 2472 nt
Filed under: Mytilus galloprovincialis (Mediterranean mussel)
Lineage: Eukaryota; Metazoa; Mollusca; Bivalvia; Mytilida; Mytilidae
Source: RNAcentral
AUGGCGUAUCACCAGGUUCCAUUAGAAGAUGGGGAUAAAGAGAAAACCGCGUUUGCGACGCCAAGAGGAGGUCUAUAUCAGUUUGUGACUAUGCCGUUCGGUCUUUGUAAUGCGGCCGGAACGUUCGAGCGAAUUAUUGAGAAAGCGUUGAGUGGACUACAAUGGCAUAUUGCCGUUUUGUACCUAGACGACAUUGUAGUUUUUGGAAAAACGUUUGACGAGCAUUUUGAUAAUUUAGAAAAAGUACUCGACAAACUAAUGUUAGCCGGAUUAAAAUUGAAACCUAAAAGUGCACUUUUCUUCAGAAAGAAAUCACAUUUUUAGGUCACGUGGUAUCAAAAUCCGGGGUGAGAACAGAUCCGGCCAAAUUAGAUGCGGUAAAUAAAAUACCAGCUUCCAACAACAAUUACAGAGGUACGAAGUUUUCUCGGCCUGACCUCGUACUACCGUAAGUUUGUAAGAAGUUAUUCGAAAAUUGCAAAACCUCUGUUUGAUCUCACUAAGAAGGGACAUUGCUGGAAGUGGACAACGGAUUGUGAAUCAGCGUUUCAAGAACUUAAAAACGGUUGACUUCAGCACCUAUAUUAGCAUACCCGCAAGUAAAUGGAGCUGAAUUCAUACUGGAUACCGACGCCAGUAAUUUUGCUAUUGGCGCGGUAUUGUCACAAGUACAAGAUGGAACGGAGAGAGUUAUUGCCUACGGAAGUAGAUCGUUAGAUAAACCGGAACGCAAUUAUUGUGUGACCCGGAGAGAAAUGCUAGCUGUAGUAUUUUUUACCCGACAUUUUAAACAUUACUUAUUGGGUAGACGUUUUACUUUGCGUACCGAUCAUGGAUCGCUUACAUGGUUACAAAAUUUCAAAGAACCAGAUGGGCAGAUUCAUCGUUGGAUCCAACAGUUGAGUCAAUUCCACAUGAAGAUUGUCCAUAGACCUGGUGUCCGUCAUGGUAAUGCCGAUGCUUUAUCUCGCAUUAUCACGUCGACAUCCGAUAUUUGCAAACAAUGCAAAAUGCCCUGGGAUUAUGAAUACCAGGGACCUGAAGAAGUAGAAAUAAUUGAGAUGCAGGAAGGAGACGGAGUAAAAUUGAUGAAUAAAAAGUUUUGGAAGGUCAGUCUAUAGGUGGAGUUACUGAUAAAAGUCCUGAAAGUCCCACAAUUGUCAUCAUCAAUAAUUCUGGAGACAUGGAUGGGCAACUAGAUUGUAGUAUUCCAGGAGAAAUACCUAUUGUAAGGAGGGGAGAAAGGCCCAAUCGGCCCCGCCAGCCAGACGAAAACCACCCCAAAAAUAGCAUUGGACAUAACAUCUAUGAGACAGCAACAAGAAGAGGAUGAUAUAAUGGGGAAAUUUUAAAACUAAAAAUUGAAAAUGCGGAAAAACCUUCAACAACGGAAAUAAGUAGUAAGAGCAAAGAAUUCAAAUUUUGGAUAUCAAGAUGGGAGUUGUUGGAAGUUAAAAAUGAUGUCCUGUGUUUGUAUUGGGUUGAAAAGAACAACUGUGCAAAAUGGCGUGUGUGCGUGCGCACCAAAGUCCGCAGUUAGUGGUAUACUUUGGUACUUACAUGACGCUAGAACCUCAGGUCAUUUAGGGAUAAAAAAAAACAGUUGAGCGAGCCCAUAUAUGUCCGUUUUAUUGGUGGAGUAUGCAAAGAUCGGUGAAAGAGUAUGUUCAUAACUGUGAAUAUGCGAAGAGCGGAAAAAUCCAGCGCACAAGAAGAGGCACGCUCUGAAAACACACUUAGUCGGUGCUCCCAUUCGAGAGAAUAGCUACGGAUAUCGCUGGCCCGUUUCCAUUGUCUGACAACAAAAACCGUUAUGUGCUCGUAGUAGGGGACUAUUUUACUAAGCUUACAGAAGCAUACCCGAUGCCAGAUAUGCAGGCGGAAACAGUUGCCGACAUUAUUUUUAGAGCAUGGGUUAAAAGAUACGGCUGUCCUAUUGAAUUACACUCCGACCAGGGCAGACAAUACGAAAGUACUCUUUUUCAAAACAUGUGUGAGUUACUUGAAAUAAAGAAAACCAGAACAACUCCAUUGCAUCCUCGUUCUGAUGGGAUGAUAGAACGUAUGAACCGAACGAUUCAGGACAUAUUAUCAAAGUACAUCAAGUCCCACCAGAGAGAUUGGGAUCAACACUUAGAUUUUCUUACCAUGGCCUAUAAUUCAACACCUCAUGAAAGUACAGGUUUAACACCACACCGUUUGGUAUACGGACAGGAAAUGAAAUUCCCCUUGGAUAUUAUUUCUGAAAGAAUUGAGCAAGACGAAACCCAGUCUGAGUUUGCAUCUGAUUACGCCAAUAAAUUAGAAGAAAGGUUGCGGGAGGCACAUGAAAUAGCGAGAGAGCAUUUAAAAGUGUCAUCAGAGCGACAGAAAUUUCAAUACGACGGAAAUGUUAAAGAAAAAAUAUAUUCUGACGGACAGUUAGUGUGGAGAAAUCAAAAACAAAAUAUUCCAGGAAGAAAGCCAAGAUUU